GGAGAGCUGCCCGAGGGGAAAGGGGUCGGCUUGCUAAGUCGAAGCCGGUGCGCAAGCGCCGCACAGGUUCGAGUCCUGUGCUCUCCG
This 87-nucleotide transfer RNA is filed under the name Caldimonas brevitalea. Its description in RNAcentral is "[Polyangium] brachysporum tRNA". It matches the Rfam family "tRNA". From Rfam's summary of the family: Transfer RNA (tRNA) molecules are approximately 80 nucleotides in length. Their secondary structure includes four short double-helical elements and three loops (D, anti-codon, and T loops). Lineage: Bacteria; Pseudomonadati; Pseudomonadota; Betaproteobacteria; Burkholderiales; Sphaerotilaceae. The record is from Rfam by way of RNAcentral.